This 466-nucleotide ribosomal RNA is filed under the name uncultured bacterium. RNAcentral describes it as "partial 16S ribosomal RNA". It matches the Rfam family "Bacterial small subunit ribosomal RNA", at positions 28 to 507 of the family's 1533-position model. The record is from RNAcentral.
GACGAACGCUGGCGGCGCGCCUAACACAUGCCAGUCGAACGAGCGAGCGAGAGCUUGCUUUCUCGAGCGAGUGGCGAACGGGUGAGUAACGCGUGAGGAACCUGCCUCAAAGAGGGGGACAACAGUUGGAAACGACUGCUAAUACCGCAUAAGCCCACGACCCGGCAUCGGGUAGAGGGAAAAGGAGCAAUCCGCUUUGAGAUGGCCUCGCGUCCGAUUAGCUAGUUGGUGAGGUAACGGCCCACCAAGGCGACGAUCGGUAGCCGGACUGAGAGGUUGAACGGCCACAUUGGGACUGAGACACGGCCCAGACUCCUACGGGAGGCAGCAGUGGGGAAUAUUGCACAAUGGGGGAAACCCUGAUGCAGCGACGCCGCGUGGAGGAAGAAGGUCUUCGGAUUGUAAACUCCUGUUGUGGAGGAAGAUAAUGACGGUACUCAACAAGGAAGUGACGGCUAACUACGUG